Long non-coding RNA from Parus major (Great Tit), 2203 nucleotides. RefSeq lists it as uncharacterized. The record is from RefSeq and is a predicted model, not a curated record. NCBI's taxonomy places the organism in Eukaryota, Metazoa, Chordata, Aves, Passeriformes, Paridae. The transcript is spliced from 5 exons.
CAUUAAUUUUGUUCCUGCAGAAAAUGCUUUGAGCUCACAUGUAACUGAUGUGAUUGUCUGAAGGUGAAGAGACUGUCAAUGGUUUAGGACAGAUGCAGAAAUGAUAAACAGGGAUUAUCCCAAAGGUGGUGGGAGAUGUGUACAACCCAUUUUUAGCACUAAAGUGGCAACUAAUAUGAAAAGUGGGUAAGAUGUAGAUCCUGGAAUCACGGAGUGGCUGAGGUUGGAAAGGACCACUGGAGCCCUCCUGUCCAAGCUGGGUGCUGUCGAGCAUGCUACUCAGGAGGACAUCCAGAUGGUUCUGGAAUAUCUUCAGAAAUACUCUUAGGAAUUCUGUGGAACAAGCUUUCUUCUACAUCAGCUCUUAACUUUGGUUCCUGGCACGCUAUCCACCUGCUGAGGCUCAGGCCACUGAAGUGCUGCACACAAAGCAGAUGUCCUGGGGAGCAAGUUUACAGCCUGCAAGUGACUGGAAACUCUUCUGAGAUCUUAUUUCAGUUUGGAAUAAAAUCAAGACGUCGUUACUCUUGAUUUGUCUGAAGUUUCAAGUUCUUACUGCAUGAGUUCAGAUGGAAUCCAGACUUGCUCCCCACCUGGUACGUCGGCAGUUCCACUGAGCAGUACUGAGAGCAGCCCUUUGUUAUUCCUCUGCCUUCUGCAUCUGCUUUCUCUUUGGGCCUGUCACAGACACAAGUGUGGAAUGCAGGGGGCAGGGGGUUGUCUUUUUAGCAGUCUAGUGGCAAACAGGAGGUUAAAGGCUUUUUUGUGCAUUUUUGUGCUUCUCAGAAGUGAAAUGGAGAACCUAAAUUCCUGUCUGAUGCACUUGAUGUGCAGAAAUGUCACAGUCCUUGGUCCUGUGCGUCCCUUUAAGGUGCUAAUCAUCAGCAAUUAUCUUUUUUUAAUAUAUAUAUUUUUUUUGUAAAGACGUCUGUUACACUUUUAGGUUACUAAAUAUUACCUGCAUCACCUGAGGCUUGUCUUUCAUGAAAAUACAGUUUGGUUUGUCAAAUUCAAGCUACAGUUUAUUCCAUGUUUCUUGCAAGUGAUUUGUCUAGGCAUGUAUUGCUCUGAUCUAGUGCAGUGCUGUGUUUUAUGAUACCUCAUGCUAAUAUAUUACAUUGCAGUCACAGUUAGUAUUUAAAGCAAAAAUUGUUUUUGUUGUUACUGUUCUAAAAUUUGUGGGUUUGUUUCCAAAAUGCAGUCAUUUGAACCUUUAUUGAGGUGUCUCGGGAAACUGUAUUGCAGGUUAUUUCAUGUACGUGGUCAGGAAACUCAGUAAUUCACUGUAUCUAUUCAUGUGAAUCUGCUGACAGAGUUUGGGGGUGAUUGACAGAAGAAAAUAGAUGACAUUUUGGUUUUUUGUUUCUAAUUUUAUGAAAAUCCCAAGUUUCUAUGAAAAUAUUUUUCUGAGAUAAAUGGCUGGUAAUGACAGGAAGAAGGAAAAAACUCCAAUCAAGAUCCAGUGUGAUUCAGGAGAUCUGUUACUAUUCUAGAUCCCUUGGAGAAAUGGAAUCAUUAAAUAUGUUUUAACUCAAACUCGGAAUUAUAAUCCUUUUCCCCAUACUUUUAUGACAUCUCUUAAGAAGCAGUAGUUUAAAUCCAGUUUAAUAAUUGUGACAUUAAUUUAAUCAGUAAGGAGAGACCUCACAAAAUUUACCCAUGGAAUUGCAACUGAAGCUUUGAGAGAUGUUUGCAUUGUGAACCAACACAAGUUGCAAAUUGUGACUAAGGUAUUUUGGUAUUUCAUUUAAAGCAGCUACCUCAGAGAUCAAUAUCAGCACGGCUCCAAGAAUCGUGGAGUUUGUCAGGUAGGUUUUGUGGGCUAUACUGAGUCUCAUUGUCUGGUGCUCUGCAAUCCACUUAUUAGCUGGUUUAAUUGGCUAAAGCAGCACCCAGCACAUCUGCUAGAGCUCUGAGGUGGAUUUUAAAGCAAAAUGUAGCCAUAGCUGGAGCUAGGUCAUGUCAUCACCCCUUCAGGAUCACAGCACUUUCUUCUCCUUCCUGUAUUUCAAGGUUACAUUAAUUACACAAACUGAUUGAAUAAAACUUUCAUGGGUUAAUUUUUGGAGAUUUGUUGCUAUUUACAUUUUAGGUGUCCUGUGUUUUGUUCAGCCUGGGAUAUCUUCUAUGCAUCUUCCCUGUUGGAGUCUGAGAUACAGAGUGUGUGCCCUUGUUUCUGAUACUUAGUUCUAAGUCCAGAAAA